Molecule: long non-coding RNA, 585 nt
Organism: Calypte anna (Anna's hummingbird)
Lineage: Eukaryota; Metazoa; Chordata; Aves; Apodiformes; Trochilidae
Exons: 3
Source: RefSeq, a predicted model, not a curated record
UGUGCAGUAGUGGCUGCUGCCAAGCCAGGUCUUUAAGUACUGUGAGAUCCUUUAACUACUUCUGCAACCAGUUUCAUUUUAAAUAUGAGUGUGAAGAAAAAAUAAUUAUGGAAAAAAUAGCAUUUGGAAGGGAGGAUACAACCGCAACAGGAGUUGACAUGCCUAGAGUGAAUUUUGCACAGUUUUGCUAACAUGGAUUCCUAGGUCAAUCCCAACUUCAUGGUUUGGGAUCCCACUUGGACUCCAUCAGGAGACCAUGCCUGUACUACUUUCUUGAUGCCAGAGCAAGACUGUUCCACUACUGUCUGCCUGGUAAAGGCAUUCUGUAGUUAAGCCAUAAUACAAAGCAGUGGCUUGUGCACCACUUAAAUAAGGAAUCAUAAAAAGAAAACUGGAAUUCAUAGAAUCUGCUGGAAUUUAUGUUCGUUCUUUCUUGACUGCAAUCUGUGCAAAAAAAAAAAUGAAUAUUACUAUCUUUGGAUUGAUUGUUCUGAUAUACAUCAAGCUCCAGUUCUUCAGAGUCUGACCACCUUGAGUGAUAUAUGUUAAUAACUUGCUUUAGAAUUACACCCAAUAUAAAUAUUG